UACGUAGGGUGCAAGCGUUAAUCGGAAUUACUGGGCGUAAAGCGUGCGCAGGCGGUGAUGUAAGACAGUUGUGAAAUCCCCGGGCUCAACCUGGGAACUGCAUCUGUGACUGCAUCGCUGGAGUGCGGCAGAGGGGGAUGGAAUUCCGCGUGUAGCAGUGAAAUGCGUAGAUAUUGGGAAGAACACCGGUGGCGAAGGCGGCUCACUGGCUCGUAACUGACGCUCAUGCACGACAGCGUGGGGAUCAAACAGG
RNAcentral lists this ribosomal RNA (253 nucleotides) under uncultured bacterium. RNAcentral's name for it is "partial 16S ribosomal RNA". It matches the Rfam family "Bacterial small subunit ribosomal RNA", at positions 524 to 776 of the family's 1533-position model. The record is from RNAcentral.